This 425-nucleotide ribosomal RNA is filed under the name uncultured bacterium. RNAcentral's name for it is "partial 16S ribosomal RNA". It matches the Rfam family "Bacterial small subunit ribosomal RNA", at positions 354 to 796 of the family's 1533-position model. The record is from RNAcentral.
GUGGGGAAUAUUGGACAAUGGGCGAAAGCCUGAUCCAGCAAUGCCGCGUGAGUGAUGAAGGCCUUAGGGUUGUAAAGCUCUUUUACCCGGGAUGAUAAUGACAGUACCGGGAGAAUAAGCUCCGGCUAACUCCGUGCCAGCAGCCGCGGUAAUACGGAGGGAGCUAGCGUUGUUCGGAAUUACUGGGCGUAAAGCGCACGUAGGCGGCUUUGUAAGUUAGAGGUGAAAGCCUGGAGCUUAACUCCAGAACUGCCUUUAAGACUGCAUCGCUUGAAUCCAGGAGAGGUGAGUGGAAUUCCGAGUGUAGAGGUGAAAUUCGUAGAUAUUCGGAAGAACACCAGUGGCGAAGGCGGCACACUGGACUGGUAUUGACGCUGAGGUGCGAAAGCGUGGGGAGCAAACAGGAUUAGAAACCCGUGUAGUCC